This 1408-nucleotide ribosomal RNA is filed under the name Chrysolepidomonas dendrolepidota. RNAcentral describes it as "eukaryotic LSU rRNA". The stretch from base 655 to 1408 matches the Rfam family "Eukaryotic large subunit ribosomal RNA", at positions 1 to 840 of the family's 3401-position model. Lineage: Eukaryota; Chrysophyceae; Chromulinales; Chrysolepidomonadaceae. The record is from RNAcentral.
GUCGUAACAAGGUUUCCGUAGGUGAACCUGCGGAAGGAUCAUUACCACACUUUUCAAUUGAACUUCGCCCCCUCCUCACGGGGGAGGCGAACUUCUCGUCCCUUGGACAAACUGAAACACUUUUCGGCAGGCAUCCUGUAUGCCUCGUCGACAAACCAUUACUAUCCUUUUGUAAGCCAAAAGUGAUUUAAGAAAUUAAAUCUGAUGACGAAAAUAGGAAACAGUGACGGCGCGUCAAACCGCAGUCCUGUAGAAUAUUAACGAAAUCAACACUUUCAGCAAUGGAUGUCUUGGCUCCCACAACGAUGAAGAACGCAGCGAAAUGCGAUACGUCAUGCGACACGCAAUAUCCAGUGAGUCAUCAAAACUUUGAACGCAACUUGCACUUCCUCGGGAGUAUGUCUGUUGGAGUGUCUGUUCAUCCCCACCACAACCCCUUGUGGGUAAAGUGAAGGCGGCCUCGACGGUACCCACCCUCGUGAGCCCAGAUGAACAGUCUCUUGCUCUCCGGAGCGGGGACGAUCCAAACAACCACCGAACCUCGUCCGAGUGCUCAUCACUCCGGGACGACGCGACGUCAUUUACUGAAAACGCGUUGGUACCGAAGUGAGCCAUUGAGUCUUGGGCUGUAGUAGGCCUAGGUGACAUCCGAUCGGACCUCCAAUCAGGCAAGAUUACCCGCCGAAUUUAAGCAUAUUAUUAAGCGGAGGAAAAGAAACUAACAAGGAUUCCCUCAGUAAGGGCGACUGAAGCGGGAAGAGCUCAGACUGAAAAUCUUCGGAAUUGUAGUCUGGAGAAGCAACACCAGUUGGUAGGCCGGGCUAAGUGACUUGGAACAGUCCGCCAUGGAGGGUGACAGCCCCGUUCAUGCCUGGUCUCGAUGCGUACGGUGUGCUUUCUACGAGUCGAUUUGUUUGGGAUUGCAGAUCUAAGUGGGUGGUAAAUUCCAUCUAAAGCUAAAUAUUGGUGGGAGACCGAUAGCGAACAAGUACCGUGAGGGAAAGAUGAAAAGCACUUUGAAAAGAGAGUGAAAGAGUACCUGAAAUUGCUGAAAAGGAACCGUAGGGAGGUAGUGUUGGAGGGUUUCCCAUUUAUGGGUUGCUCUCAAGUUAGGCUUUCUUCUUUAUGUGGGAAAAGCUUUGGUUUCCAUCUGGGGCCAUUUUGCUGUCAUGUGAAGGAGAGACUUUAACGAAAUGCCUCUCUACAACCCGUCUUGAAACACGGACCAAGGAGUCUAACAUAUGUGCGAGUGCUCGGAGUAGAACUCCCAGCGCGGAAUUAACGUAAAGGGCACCUAGUGUCUGAGGUAGGAACUUUUGUGCACUAUCGACCGACCAUGAUUCUCCGGAUGAAAGGUUUGAGUGUGAGCAUAUAUGUUGGGACCCGAAAGAUGGUGAACUAUGCGUGA